This 493-nucleotide ribosomal RNA is filed under the name uncultured Bacillota bacterium. RNAcentral's name for it is "uncultured Firmicutes bacterium partial 16S ribosomal RNA". It matches the Rfam family "Bacterial small subunit ribosomal RNA", at positions 9 to 527 of the family's 1533-position model. The record is from RNAcentral. Lineage: Bacteria; Bacillati; Bacillota.
GAGUUUGAUCAUGGCUCAGGACGAACGCUGGCGGCGUGCCUCAUACAUGCAAGUCGAGCGAGGGUAGCAAUACCCUAGCGGCGGACGGGUGAGUAAAAAAAAAAAAACCUGCCUCAAAGACAGGGAUAACACUCCGAAAGGAGUGCUAAUACCUGGUAAGCUCACAAGGCCACAUGGUAAGGUGAGAAAAGGAGCAAUCCGCUUUGAGAUGGGCCCGCGUCCCAUUAGCUAGUUGGUAGGGUAACGGCCUACCAAGGCGACGAUGGGUAGCCGACCUGAGAGGGUGAUCGGCCACACUGGAACUGAGAGACGGUCCAGACUCCUACGGGAGGCAGCAGUAGGGAAUCUUCCGCAAUGGGCGAAAGCCUGACGGAGCAACGCCGCGUGAGUGAUGAAGGCCAGGGGGUCGUAAAGCUCUGUCUUCAGUGACGAAUGAGACGGUAACUGAGGAGGAAGCCACGGCAAACUACGUGCCAGCAGCCGCGGUAAAAGG